This is a long non-coding RNA of Mercurialis annua (annual mercury), 2092 nucleotides long. RefSeq lists it as uncharacterized. NCBI's taxonomy places the organism in Eukaryota, Viridiplantae, Streptophyta, Magnoliopsida, Malpighiales, Euphorbiaceae. The record is from RefSeq and is a predicted model, not a curated record. The transcript has 2 exons.
UAUUUAUUUGAGUAGAAAUUAAGCAUGAGAAACCCUAAAAGUAAGUUUCUCCCUUUGACAUCAUUCCACUCACCUUCACUGUCUCAUCCCGAGGCAAAACCCUAACCCUUAUACAUUCUCUGCCUCUCCCCCUCUAAAUCUUCUCCUCUAUUUCUAUAAAUCUCUCAAAUUAUAAUUCUCUAUCAACAUGCUAACCCUAGCAAGGUAGUUACUAGUUUCUCUUUUAUAUAUAUGUGUGUUUUGAACUUUGAUUUUGAGUUUCAUCUUCUCCAAUCUUCAAUAUCUCUGAAUCCUAUUCACUUUUUUACUAGUCUUGUUUUUUGAUUCUAGAUAAUAAUCUGCCACUUCGGCUAGGGCAAAAGCAGGAACUAGGGUUUUCUUUUUAUGUAUAAAUGAUGCAUGAAAGCCUUAUUUUUAUUUUUAUUUUAUAUUAUUUAUUGCAUAAUUGAGCUAUAUAGAGCUAGGCAAUGAAUUUUGAUGCAUGAUGCUGAUUUUCUGCAAUAUUCUCUAUUAUGAAGUAUCAUAGUGGAUGAAUGUAGAUAAAGAGAAUAUACAUAAUUAGCUGUAAAAGUGGGUUGAUAUCAAUCUGACUCAGUUCAUGGAACAGAAAAUUAAAAAAGAAUAAUGAUUUCAAGAUCCCACUUCAUCACUUCACUAUACAACCACCAACAAGACCACCACCUCCACCCACCAAGAAAAUUAAUCAAUUUUUUUUCGAAAUAUUAUAGACAUUAUUAUUGUGCUUUUUAAUUAAAAUUGCAAAAAAAGGGACCGUAUCUAGAAUUCUUUAUUCAAAGUACAGUCUUUAUAAUUACUUUUGCACAUUUGGUCGGUAAGUAAAUUAGUGGUUUGUGGUGCCAAUCCAAUCCAGUAUUAUCUGGUUUUCAAUAUAUAUAAUUUUUUAGAAUCUGAAACUUGUUCAUUUGUACUCCUUUAGGUUAAUAUUAUCUGGUUUUCAAUAUAUAUGAAUAUGUAUCUUUAUUAUUAGCAUAACUGGUGUUGUUGGAUUAUAGAAAGCGAUGUUGGUGAGGUUCAAUCCGAAGACGAAUUUACACAUUUUUGUUUGUAAAAGACGAUCUCAGAUUGAGCCGCGCCAAUAUCACUUUUCGUUUAUUAUUCCCUUUUUGCAUAUUCUUUAACUAUAACCGUGGCUACUAUUUCAUUGCCUCAGCUCUGUAAAGAAGACAAAAGUGGACAAGGAACUAAAGGGAUGGAUCGCAUCUCUUUACCAAGUCUUUGAUCCCUUAAUUGGUAGCAAUGGCUUCAAGUCCGGCUGUAUGGAUGAUCAGGGUAAUGUUCUAACCUUUACUUUUAUUGGUUUAUAAAGAUAAAUACAAAAUCCAUACUAUAAUUGAUUUUGACCAUACUUUUCCGUAUUUGCAGUUUGGUUAUCGAAUUUCUAAAAGUUAUAUAUUGACAAAAUACUAUAUUUUUAGUGAUUCAAACAAAGUUUUAAAUAAAAUUUGGCCAAUUUAUACUUAUCCAAAUUUCACUCUGAAAUUUCAAGUUUUUAAAAAUGGGGAAUAUGAUAUGAAAAAAAAAUGUGAGGUGUCUUUUGUUUAUAUAUCUAAUGUGUAGAUGAGAGGGAAUUGAAAUAUAAACCGGCAGACAUAUAGAUAUAAAUUGACCGAAUUUCAUAAGAAACAUGCCGAAGUCACUAGAAAUGUAUUACAGUAACCAAUUUAUAGCGUUUUAAAUUUAGAUAACCAAACUGUAAAUUAUGGAAAGUAUAAUAACUACCAAAAUCAAUUAUCCAGAUUCCUGAGUAGCUAGAAAGUUAUGGAGUAAAGAAAAUGCGCUUUGCUGGAUGCCAAUGAAGCUUCUAAAAUGAUAGAUAGAUAGAUUUCCAUUAUAUAUAUCAAUUGGUGUGUCGGCACAUUAUUGUUAAUUAAUUAUUUUUACUUUUCUUUUUAUUUCAUGCUUCUAAACAUCUUUUCAUUUUCUUUUCCUAAUUUCAUGGUUCUUGUUUUCUCUUCUUCAUCUGGCCCUUUUCAUCAAAUUGUAAACAUAUGAUUUAUGUUGUCAUAGUGUAUAAAUGAAAAUUGUAUUUUAUGAGCAUUCAAUUUGGCGUAAUGCCAGUUGAUGUGGUGAA